RNAcentral lists this ribosomal RNA (406 nucleotides) under uncultured bacterium. Its description in RNAcentral is "bacterial SSU rRNA". It matches the Rfam family "Bacterial small subunit ribosomal RNA", at positions 370 to 772 of the family's 1533-position model. The record is from RNAcentral.
AAUGGACGAGAGUCUGAACCAGCCAAGUCGCGUGAAGGAAGACGGCCCUACGGGUUGUAAACUUCUUUUGUAAGGGAAUAAAUAGUCUUACGGGCUAAGACGUUGCAGGUACCUUACGAAUAAGGAUCGGCUAACUCCGUGCCAGCAGCCGCGGUAAUACGGAGGAUCCGAGCGUUAUCCGGAUUUAUUGGGUUUAAAGGGUGCGCAGGCGGCAUGUUAAGUCGGCGGUGAAAUUUUGCAGCUCAACUGUAAAAGAGCCUUCGAAACUGGCAAGCUUGAGUGUGGAUGAAGUAGGCGGAAUUUGUGGUGUAGCGGUGAAAUGCAUAGAUAUCACAAAGAACACCGAUUGCGCAGGCAGCUUACUAAACCAUAACUGACGCUCAUGCACGAAGGCGUGGGGAUCAAA